AGCAUCAAGGCUAAUGGAGUCUCAGAGAACUACCUACUGUGCAAGUUUUUCCCUUAUUCACUUGCUGGAGAAGCCGCUUCUUGGCGGAAACAACUUAAAGCAGGUUCCCUCAAGACUUGGAGAAGCAUCAAGAUAGCCUUCUUGAACAAUUUCUACGAUGAUGCUAAGUCUUAGGAGU
RNAcentral lists this small RNA (178 nucleotides) under Arabidopsis thaliana (thale cress). RNAcentral's name for it is "ATSL275640". Lineage: Eukaryota; Viridiplantae; Streptophyta; Magnoliopsida; Brassicales; Brassicaceae. The record is from RNAcentral.